Molecule: regulatory RNA element, 201 nt
Rfam family: T-box leader
About the family: Uncharged tRNA acts as the effector for transcription antitermination of genes in the T-box leader family. T-boxes are found upstream of many aminoacyl-tRNA synthetase genes and some amino acid biosynthetic genes usually in Gram-positive bacteria.
Source: Rfam
UAUAAAACGAUAAUAAAACAGUAGUAACUAUUAAAAGUUAUUUUAAAGAGAGCGUUUGAUGGUGAGAUAAACGUAAAUAACCAGUAGUGAAUUCAGUUUUUAGUAGUGCUAAUAACACUCGUUGCCUUGCGUUAAAGGGAAUUAAGUGCUAUAACAAUUGUUGUAGAACUAAGGUGGUACCGCGAUUUAUUCGUCCUUAGA